CUCUCGGGGGCUCGCGCUGCGGAGAUCCACUUGUCAGUUCAAGGGCAGGACAGAAACUCUGCAAGCAGAGUCUUGCGAACAGGAAAUUUCUCAUUGACAAGGUCUUGGUUGAUGUGCUGUGUUCACCAUGGGAACCUAAGAAUUUAUCAUCUGUGUGAAGAGUUGCCUUCCUCUCAGAUGAGGAAACUGAGGCUUAGAGGAUAAUUAACUUGCCUGCUUGCCUGGACACUCAUUGCCUGAUUCCUAGAGCCUAAACUUUGAUCCACGCAGUCUUUCCAACUCUCCAGGCACCUGUGGUCAACGUCAUGACUCUGCCAAUUCCACAGGCGCAUCAUAAUUGGGUGCUCCCUUUGGAUCUAAAGGAAAUGGCCUUCACUGCAUGCUGGCAUGCCAAGGAUGCCCUCUGAGGACAUGACGACAGUGAAUUUGUCCCAAAGGUCUCUCUGAGAUGCCUCUCGUGUUCUGUCGCUUUCCAAGAUGCAGCCUGUUCAGGGUAAGCAGAAGCUCUGGGAUGACCCCCGUGACGGAGUGUGGUCACAUCCCCGCCCUGGUCUCUUUGACAAAGCAUGCUGGCCAGUCGGCGGAUGCCCUCACCAGUUCAAUGCCAGUGGUUGCGCCGGGACCUUCCUGCCCUAUUUGCUGGCACAGGGAGCGUGCAGGAGGGAAGAUCGAUCUCCAAGAUAAUUCAGGUUCUGUCUUUCUUCAAACCAGCCUCUGUCCUCUGCUCUAGCUCCGCCGACAAUGAUUAAUGCGCCACUGACAAUUUCCUUUCUUCGGCUUCUCCCUGGCUUUGGGGUUUAUUUCACAGCCUUUGCCAGAGUUUCUCCUCAGCAGAGAGUAAAUACUUGGAGAUUGGAGCACAGCCCUUGGUGUUACUCAGAAAGCGUCCCAGGCAGCAGGUGGCACGGGGCCAUCCCUGGAGUAGGUGAUGCCACUGUUUAGGGUUCAGUGCUAACCCACCACCUCCACCAAUGAAAGCCUAAUCUUUUAAUUAUUCUGAAAAUACCCAAACUAAGGAUGGCAGGGAAGGCAAUUAAUAGGAUUCAUACGGUCUAGUCCUCAUUUGUAAUUAUAUAUUAUUAUUUUUCUCCCUACUUUGUUCCAAUAAUGAUUUAAGGCUGCUUCCAAAAAUACACAAAACCCAGCAAAGAUAAAUAGAGUGGGACGUGAAUUAUAAUGUCAUGCCCACUCACAACCUCUGUGCUCCGUUCCACAUAUAGAACUGAAUUCAUAACGCCUUUCAAAAAGGAGGUAAUUGGGACUUCCAUGGUGGGGCAGUAGUUAAGAAUUCGCCUGCCAAUGCAGGGGACACGGGUUCGAGCCCUGGUCCGGGAAGAUCCCACAUGCCGCAGAGCAAGUAAGCCCGUGCGGCACAACUACCAAGCCUGCGCUCUAGAGCCCACGAGCCACAGCUACUGAGCCCACAUGCCACAACUACUGAGCCCGCGUGCCGCAACUACUAAAGCCCACGUGCCUAGAGCCCGUGCUCUGCAAUGAGAAGCCACUGUAAUGAGAAGCCCACGCACCGCAACAAAGAGUAGCCCCGCUCGCUGCAACUAGAGGAAGCCCGCGUGCAGCAACGAAGACCCAACGCAGCCAAAAAUAAAUACAUUUAUA
Long non-coding RNA from Lagenorhynchus albirostris (white-beaked dolphin), 1617 nucleotides. RefSeq lists it as uncharacterized. NCBI's taxonomy places the organism in Eukaryota, Metazoa, Chordata, Mammalia, Artiodactyla, Delphinidae. The transcript is spliced from 3 exons. The record is from RefSeq and is a predicted model, not a curated record.